ACUGACGCUGGCGGCUGCCCUACCGUGUAUGUCGAACGGUAACAGGUCUUCGGAUGCUGACGAGUGGCGAACGGGGAGUAAUACAUCGGAACGUGCCCGAGAGUGGGGGAUAACGAAGCGAAAGCUUUGCUAAUACCGCAUACGAUCUCAGGAUGAAAGCAGGGGACCGCAAGGCCUUGCGCUCACGGAGCGGCCGAUGGCAGAUUAUGUAGUUGGUGGGAUAAAAGCUUACCAAGCCGACGAUCUGUAGCUGGUCUGAGAGGACGAACAGCCACACUGGGGCUGAGACACGGCCCAGACUCCUACGGGAGUGCAGCAGUGGGGAAUUUUGGACACUGGGCGCAAGCCUGAUCCAGCCAUGCCGCGUGCAGGAUGAAUGCCUUCGGGUUGUAAACUUGCUUUUGUACGGAACGAAAAGACUCUGGUUAAUACCUGUGGUCCAAUGACGGUACCGUAAGAAUAAGCACCGGAUAACUACGUGACAAGCAGCCAGCAGAAAAUACGUAGGGGUUGCGAGCAGUUAAUCUGGAAUUACUUGGGCGUAAAAGACGUGCGCCAAGCGAGUAAUGUAAGCAAAGAAUGUUAAAAUCCCCGGGGCUCAAACGUGGGAAACCUGAAUUUUGUGAACUGCAUAAGCUAGAGGACAGGCAGAAGGCGAUGGAAUUCCGAAUGUAACAUAAAAUGCGUAGAAA
This 692-nucleotide ribosomal RNA is filed under the name uncultured bacterium. RNAcentral describes it as "bacterial SSU rRNA". It matches the Rfam family "Bacterial small subunit ribosomal RNA", at positions 29 to 696 of the family's 1533-position model. The record is from RNAcentral.